This 1262-nucleotide long non-coding RNA is filed under the name Gossypium barbadense (sea-island cotton). RNAcentral's name for it is "long non-coding RNA (GBAR_LNC014529)". Lineage: Eukaryota; Viridiplantae; Streptophyta; Magnoliopsida; Malvales; Malvaceae. The record is from RNAcentral.
CCAUAUUCAAUCAUAUCUUAUAAAAAUGUUAAAAUGUAAGUAAAAACAAGUAAUUAAUAACAUACAAACUUACUCGUUUGCAUCCUUAUCAAUAAUGCAUCAUAAUCUGAACAUAUUAUUUAUGAGUCUUAUAUACAUACCUGUGCCUAGUCAUAAUACUCACAUAUCCUACUCUUACUUAUCUUGAGCAUACUCCUUGAAUUUCCCGUUGAACUACUUGUAAUAUUAGGGAUGUUCGGGAUAUCUCGUAUACCGAGUAGGAUGCCAAUGCCAUAUCCCAGAUAUGGUCUUACAUGGGAUCACAUAUCGGUGCCGAUGCCAUGUCCCAGACAUGGUCUUACACUGACUCUCCUCUGUCCGUGCCGAUGCCAUGUCCUAGACAUGGUCUUACACUAGCACUUCUCGGUCUGCGCCAAUGCCAUGUCCCAGACAUGGUCUUACACUGGCACACUCGCUGCCAUGGUCCAACCAUGGUCUUUUCUGUCAAUUCAUCACGUGUUGUAGUACUAAUAUACUUGACCCUGUAUUUCUCACGAUUGAUCAUUCAAUCUAAUCUCAUACUUGCAUAAAGUCAUCAUUAGAUAACAAAUAUAUAUAAAAUAAUACAUCAUCUCAAUUCAAAUUUAAUAAUCGAUCACUUAGACUAACCAUAUGAACUUACCUCAACGCGAAUCGAUAAUUUUGAUUUAUAUUUCCCCAUACUUGGUCCAAAUCUCGAUUUAUUUGAUCUAAAAUGUCACAUUUCACUUAAUUAUCACUCACAUUACUCAUUUUAAUACAAAAACUAUACUAUGGAAAAUUUACAAUUUUGCCCCUAAACUUUCUCAUAAUUACAAUUUUACCCCUAGGCUCGUAAUAUGAUUUUUAUUCAAUUUCCAUAACAUUCAAGGUUAGCCAAACCUUUUUCUCUUCUAAAGCAACCUCAAAUUGUUAUUAUUUCACACUUUUAUGACCAUUUACAACUUUUACUAAUUAACCUGUUUUAACUAUUUUCAACGAAAAUCACUUAGCAAAAAUCUUUCUCCUAACCUCGUGCACUCUUAUUCUACCAUUAAACAUCAAAAUGCACAAAUAUCUAGCAUGGGUCAAUUUUUAAACUUCAUUUUUCAUGCAAAUAAAUGGUAAAAAUAGAAAGGUUAAGCUUCUAGGAUAUCAAAAAUACGAAGAACAUUAAAAAUGGGGCUCAAAUGCACUUACAAUUGAACUUUGAAAAAGCUUGAAACCCUAGCCAUGACUUUUUGAAAAUUUCUGCAGCAUAGAGA